Long non-coding RNA from Drosophila montana, 1203 nucleotides. RefSeq lists it as uncharacterized. NCBI's taxonomy places the organism in Eukaryota, Metazoa, Arthropoda, Insecta, Diptera, Drosophilidae. The record is from RefSeq and is a predicted model, not a curated record. The transcript has 6 exons.
UUAAAUAUACAAUAGCCUGCGCCAAAUCGAAAAUUCGAUAUUUAUAAUGAUUUGUUAUCGAUAUUUAGCAGCUCUCAUUCGCUCAUCUCGAAACUUUGACGAUAGUUCAAAACUAUCGGAAAUUCAUCGUCAAAUGUCGUUACUGCAAGAACCUCGACAAGCGUGCCGCCACCGCUUUAUCGGCAUUUAAAUUGUUUAUAUUCAAUAAAACACGCAAUAAAGUUCGGUUUCAUGGCCGGAAAUGAAAUCCUGAUAAAUGGAAUUUCCAUAUGUGGGGUGUCUUAUGAUCCGAUUUGUCGUUCACAUUCCUUUUAUCAAUUUGAGAUCAACCAGGGGUGAGUAAGACCUCGAUAAACGGAAAAUUCGGUUAACAAAAUAAUUUAUAUUUAAAAUCGGACUAACGAAUUUCGGUUACUUUUCGAACGCACAACCUGCAAACAUGCCUAUGGUGAACAGUUGUUAUGGUCCACCCUAACGGCCAGAGGAAGAGAUACACUAAACAAAGAUGUAAGACGGCACUUAUCCGAACGACGUGGACAUUCUCCUCCCCUUCAUCAACAAAAUUAACCGCUCAUAAUUCUUUAUAAAUCCACAAAUCAAAAGGAACAGACGACGAAAGUACGCCCAAAGGUUAUUGCCGCAAAAAAAGAAGUAUGGAGAAAAAUAAAAGGCAGAUGCAAUAACGUUUGAGUCGUUCACUCGCUGUUCGCACUUUAUGAAGUUUUAUUAAGUGAAACUAUGCGCAAGGAGCUCGAAUAUGAGGCUCCGUCUGACUCUGCCUGUUGUUCGGGGUGAGGAUGGGCGUUAUGGAACGAACUCACUCGGAAGUGGGCGUGGUCUCGCCAAUGGCCGCUUCUUAGCCUAUCGUUCGGGUUAGCGCUGGUGAAAAGUGCGUCGAGGGUAUGGCUGACGUGCGCCGCUGAGCCGGAACCUGGCCUGGGUGGUAACCUGCUGGCCUCUCUGGUUCGAGAGCUUCUUGGACGGCCUGAACUCUUUAGCGUGGAUCCUUUCGUUGCCGGAACCUUUCCACUGGUGCAUUUGAGCAGAGCCCGACUGUCUUGUACCACCUCUCAAAAUUGACUCUUUUGUUGCAGCAACGAAACUCAUAUCUUCGACAUGGGUAAGUUAUCGACCGUGUAAGCCAAAGGCAUCACAAAGGCCAUAUUUUCAUUCAUUACCCUGCGAGCGAAUCUGGCGGGCACC